RNAcentral lists this ribosomal RNA (537 nucleotides) under Saturnispora silvae. RNAcentral's name for it is "eukaryotic LSU rRNA". It matches the Rfam family "Eukaryotic large subunit ribosomal RNA", at positions 74 to 657 of the family's 3401-position model. The record is from RNAcentral. Lineage: Eukaryota; Fungi; Ascomycota; Pichiomycetes; Pichiales; Pichiaceae.
AUUGCCUCAGUAGCGGCGAGUGAGCGGCAAAAGCUCCAUUUUGAAAGCUCUUCGGAGCGUUGUAGAUUGGUGGGAAGCUAACGGCUGGUGGGAGACCAAGUCCUCUGGAACGAGGCGCCAUAGAGGGUGAGAGCCCCGUGUGUCUCCUUUACCGACCUUUCAGCCCCCUCCGCGGAGUCGAGUUGUUUGGGAAUGCAGCUCUAAGUGGGUGGUAAAUUCCAUCUAAGGCUAAAUAUUGGCGAGAGACCGAUAGCGAACAAGUACAGUGAUGGAAAGAUGAAAAGCACUUUGAAAAGAGAGUGAAACAGUACGUGAAAUUGUUGAAAGGGAAGGGUAUUUGGCCCGACAUGGGUCCUAUGCACCGUUGCCUCUCGUGGGCGGCGCUCUGCUUGGGCCUGGGCCAGCGUCAGUUUGGAGGGGGCGAGAAGGGUUUUGGGGAGUUGCCUAGCAAUUCCCCUUUGCUAGAUUGCCCCACACCGGACUGAGGACCGCCAUCUGUAGGAUGCUGGCACAACGGCCAAAUACCGCCCGUCUUGA